This is a long non-coding RNA of Homo sapiens (human), 1803 nucleotides long. Ensembl annotates it as major histocompatibility complex, class I, L (pseudogene). Its record names the gene HLA-L. The record is from Ensembl. NCBI's taxonomy places the organism in Eukaryota, Metazoa, Chordata, Mammalia, Primates, Hominidae.
GAUCCCGGCACUACAGUCCCGGCGCAACCACCCGCACUCAGAUUCUCCCCAAACGCCAAGGAUGGGGGUCAUGGCUCCCCGAACCCUCCUCCUGCUGCUCUUGGGGGCCCUGGCCCUGACCGAGACCUGGGCCGCGACUCCGUGAGUCCGAGGAUGGAGCGGCGGGCGCCGUGGGUGGAGCAGGAGGGGCUGGAGUAUUGGGACCAGGAGACACGGAACGCCAAGGGCCACGCGCAGAUUUACCGAGUGAACCUGCGGACCCUGCUCCGCUAUUACAACCAGAGCGAGGCCGGUAUGAACAGUUCGCCUACGAUGGCAAGGAUUACAUCGCCCUGAACGAGGACCUGCACUCCUGGACCGCCGCGAACACAGCGGCUCAGAUCUCCCAGCACAAGUGGGAAGCGGACAAAUACUCAGAGCAGGUCAGGGCCUACCUGAGGGCAAGUGCAUGGAGUGGCUCCGCAGACACCUGGAGAACGGGAAGGAGACGCUGCAGCACGCGGAUCCCCCAAAGGCACAUGUGACCCAGCACCCCAUCUCUGACCAUGAGGCCACCCUGAGGUGCUGGGCCCUGGGCCUCUACCCUGCGGAGAUCACACUGACCUGGCAGCAGGAUGGGGAGGACCAGACCCAGGACACGGAGCUUGUGGAGACCAGGCCUGCAGGGGACGGAACCUUCCAGAAGUGGGUGGCUGUAGUGGUGCCUUCCGGAGAGGAGCAGAGAUACAUGUGCCAUGUGCAGCAUGAGGGGCUGCCAGAGCCCCUCACCCUGAGAUGGGAGCCGUCUUCUCAGCCCACCAUCCCCAUCGUGGGCAUCGUUGCUGGCCUGUUUCUCCUUGGAGCUGUGGUCACUGGAGCUGUGGUUGCUGCUGCGAUGUGGAGGAAGAAAAGCUCAGGCAGCAAUUGUGCUCAGUACUCUGAUGCAUCUCAUGAUACUUGUAAAGGAGGCUAUGAAUCCAAGAUCAAGGCACUGGCUAAUGGUGAGAGCCAUCUUGCUGCAUCAUCACAUGGCUGAAGGUAGAAGGGCAAGUAAAGUACAGAGAACACACUCCUGGAAGCCCUUUUAUAAAGGCAUUAAAACCACCCCCAAGGGUGGAACCCUCAUGGUCCAAUCACCUCUCAAAAGUCUCACCUCCUAAUAAUGUUACAAUAGCAAUUAAAUUUCAAUAUGCAGCUGGGUGCAGUGGCUCACUCCUGUAAUCCCAGCACUUUGGGAGGCUGAGGUGGGAGGACUGCUUGAGUCCAGGAGUUCAAGACCAGCCUGGGCAACAUAGUGAGACCCCAUCUCUACAAAUAUAUAUAUACUUCAACCCAUGUUGAAAUAUAAAUGGGUUGAAACAACAUGGGUUUUGGAGGGGACAAAAAUUCAAACCAUAGCAAUAUGGUGUGUAUGUAUACACACACACACAAAAUGGAAUAAUAGCCACAGAAAAAGGAAGUACUGACAUUUGCAACAACAUGGAUGAACCUGGAGGAUAUUAUAUUAAAUGAAAUAAGCCAGACACAGAAAGACAAAUAUUAUAUAACCUCAUAUUUGCAAUCUAAAACAAGUGAAACUCCUAGAAACAGAGGUAGAACGGUGGUUACCAGGGGCUUGAGUGGGAGAAAUGGGGAGAUGUUGGUCAAAGGGUGCAAAUUCUCAGUUAUAUAAUGAACAAGUUCUAGAAAUCUAAUGUUCAGUAUGGGCAGUAAUGGAUUUGUUAAUUUGGUUGCAAUAAUAAUCAUACAAUGUAUAUGUGUAUUAAAUUAUCAUGAUGUAUGCCAUGCACAACUUUGUCAAUUAAAUGUUUUUUAAAUAUGAAA